AACAAAGGCAGUGAGUUAUCUCAAAUGACCAUUUAGUCAUUUACAGAUGGAAUUCCUUGUUCUACUUUUUCCCUCCUCUCUACUGCACUUGACAAGUCUUAA
This 102-nucleotide small RNA is filed under the name Carlito syrichta (Philippine tarsier). RNAcentral describes it as "Y RNA (ENSTSYG00000023195.2)". Lineage: Eukaryota; Metazoa; Chordata; Mammalia; Primates; Tarsiidae. The record is from RNAcentral.